CCUACGGGAGGCAGCAGUGGGGAAUAUUGGACAAUGGGCGAAAGCCUGAUCCAGCCAUGCCGCGUGUGUGAAGAAGGCCUUCGGGUUGUAAAGCACUUUCAGUGGGGAAGAAAGCCUUGGGGCUAAUACCCUCGAGGAAGGACAUCACCCACAGAAGAAGCACCGGCUAACUCCGUGCCAGCAGCCGCGGUAAUACGGAGGGUGCGAGCGUUAAUCGGAAUUACUGGGCGUAAAGCGCGCGUAGGCGGUCUGAUAAGCCGGUUGUGAAAGCCCCGGGCUCAACCUGGGAACGGCAUCCGGAACUGUCAGGCUAGAGUGCAGGAGAGGAAGGUAGAAUUCCCGGUGUAGCGGUGAAAUGCGUAGAGAUCGGGAGGAAUACCAGUGGCGAAGGCGGCCUUCUGGACUGACACUGACGCUGAGGUGCGAAAGCGUGGGUAGCAAACAGGACUAGAUACCCGGGUAGUC
RNAcentral lists this ribosomal RNA (465 nucleotides) under Vreelandella stevensii. RNAcentral's name for it is "partial 16S ribosomal RNA". It matches the Rfam family "Bacterial small subunit ribosomal RNA", at positions 338 to 795 of the family's 1533-position model. The record is from RNAcentral. Lineage: Bacteria; Pseudomonadati; Pseudomonadota; Gammaproteobacteria; Oceanospirillales; Halomonadaceae.